AUGUUCCUACGGGACGCAGCAGUGAGGAAUAUUGGUCAAUGGCCGUAAGGCUGAACCAGCCAAGUAGCGUGAGGGAAGACUGCCCUAUAGGUUGUAAACCUCUUUUAUGCGGGGAUAAAGGUGUCCACGUGUGGAUGUUUGCAGGUACCGCAUGAAUAAGGACCGGCUAAUUCCGUGCCAGCAGCCGCGGUAAUACGGAAGGUCCGGGCGUUAUCCGGAUUUAUUGGGUUUAAAGGGAGCGUAGGCCGGUCUUUAAGCGUGCCGUGACAUUUUGUGGCUCAACCAUGAGAGUGAGGCGCGAACUG
Molecule: ribosomal RNA, 305 nt
Filed under: uncultured bacterium
Lineage: Bacteria
Description: bacterial SSU rRNA
Rfam family: Bacterial small subunit ribosomal RNA
Source: RNAcentral